UGAGGAAUAUUGGGCAAUGGACGAAAGUCUGACCCAGCCAUGCCGCGUGCAGGAUGAAUGCCCUAUGGGUUGUAAACUGCUUUUGUGCGGGAAGAAACCCCCGGACGUGUUCGGGGUUGACGGUACCGUAUGAAUAAGCAUCGGCUAACUCCGUGCCAGCAGCCGCGGUAAUACGGAGGAUGCAAGCGUUAUCCGGAUUUAUUGGGUUUAAAGGGUGCGUAGGCGGGAAAUUAAGUCAGUGAUGAAAUCCUGCAGCUUAACUGUAGAAUUGUUAUUGAUACUGGUUUCCUUGAAUGCAGUUGAGGCAGGCGGAAUGUGUAAUGUAGCGGUGAAAUGCUUAGAUAUUACACAGAACACCGAUUGCGAAGGCAGCUUGCUAAACUGUGAUUGACGCUGAGGCACGAAAGCGUGGGGAGCAAACAG
This 423-nucleotide ribosomal RNA is filed under the name uncultured bacterium. Its description in RNAcentral is "bacterial SSU rRNA". It matches the Rfam family "Bacterial small subunit ribosomal RNA", at positions 355 to 775 of the family's 1533-position model. The record is from RNAcentral.